GUGGAUUAGAUACCCUGGUAGUCCACGCCGUAAACUAUGGAUGCUAGCUGUUAGAAGUAUCGACCCUUCUAGUAGCGAAGCUAACGCGUUAAGCAUCCCGCCUGUGGAGUACGAGCGCAAGCUUAAAACAUAAAGGAAUUGACGGGGACCCGCACAAGCGGUGGAGCGUGUUGUUUAAUUCGAUGGUAAGCGAAGAACCUUACCCAGGCUUGACAUCCUGUGAAGCACUGCGAAAGCAGAGUGUGCCUUUUGGAACACAGUGACAGGUGAUGCACGGCCGUCGUCAGCU
Molecule: ribosomal RNA, 289 nt
Filed under: uncultured bacterium
Lineage: Bacteria
Description: partial 16S ribosomal RNA
Rfam family: Bacterial small subunit ribosomal RNA
Source: RNAcentral